CCUACGGGAGGCAGCAGUGAGGAAUAUUGGUCAAUGGGCGCGAGCCUGAACCAGCCAAGUAGCGUGAAGGAUGACUGCCCUACGGGUUGUAAACUUCUUUUAUAAAGGAAUAAUGUGAUUCACGUGUGCCUUUUUGUAUGUACUUUAUGAAUAAGGAUCGGCUAACUCCGUGCCAGCAGCCGCGGUAAUACGGAGGAUCCGAGCGUUAUCCGGAUUUAUUGGGUUUAAAGGGAGCGUAGAUGGGUUGUUAAGUCAGUUGUGAAAGUUUGCGGCUCAACCGUAAAAUUGCAAUUGAUACUGGCAGCCUUGAGUACAGUUGAGGUAGGCGGAAUUCGUGGAGUAGCGGUGAAAUGCUUAGAUAUAACGAAGAACUCCGAUUGCGAAGGCAGCUUACUAAACUGACACUGACAUUGAUGCUCGAGAGUGUGGGUAGCAAACAGGAUUAGAUACCCUUGUAGUC
This 460-nucleotide ribosomal RNA is filed under the name uncultured bacterium. RNAcentral's name for it is "partial 16S ribosomal RNA". It matches the Rfam family "Bacterial small subunit ribosomal RNA", at positions 338 to 795 of the family's 1533-position model. The record is from RNAcentral.